RNAcentral lists this ribosomal RNA (215 nucleotides) under Staphylococcus aureus. Its description in RNAcentral is "partial 16S ribosomal RNA". It matches the Rfam family "Bacterial small subunit ribosomal RNA", at positions 1 to 208 of the family's 1533-position model. The record is from RNAcentral. Lineage: Bacteria; Bacillati; Bacillota; Bacilli; Caryophanales; Staphylococcaceae.
UUUUAUGGAGAGUUUGAUCCUGGCUCAGGAUGAACGCUGGCGGCGUGCCUAAUACAUGCAAGUCGAGCGAACGGACGAGAAGCUUGCUUCUCUGAUGUUAGCGGCGGACGGGUGAGUAACACGUGGAUAACCUACCUAUAAGACUGGGAUAACUUCGGGAAACCGGAGCUAAUACCGGAUAAUAUUUUGAACCGCAUGGUUCAAAAGUGAAAGAC